This 443-nucleotide ribosomal RNA is filed under the name Pseudomonas putida. RNAcentral describes it as "bacterial SSU rRNA". It matches the Rfam family "Bacterial small subunit ribosomal RNA", at positions 56 to 494 of the family's 1533-position model. The record is from RNAcentral. Lineage: Bacteria; Pseudomonadati; Pseudomonadota; Gammaproteobacteria; Pseudomonadales; Pseudomonadaceae.
UGCAAGUCGAGCGGAUGACGGGAGCUUGCUCCUUGAUUCAGCGGCGGACGGGUGAGUAAUGCCUAGGAAUCUGCCUGGUAGUGGGGGACAACGUUUCGAAAGGAACGCUAAUACCGCAUACGUCCUACGGGAGAAAGCAGGGGACCUUCGGGCCUUGCGCUAUCAGAUGAGCCUAGGUCGGAUUAGCUAGUUGGUGAGGUAAUGGCUCACCAAGGCGACGAUCCGUAACUGGUCUGAGAGGAUGAUCAGUCACACUGGAACUGAGACACGGUCCAGACUCCUACGGGAGGCAGCAGUGGGGAAUAUUGGACAAUGGGCGAAAGCCUGAUCCAGCCAUGCCGCGUGUGUGAAGAAGGUCUUCGGAUUGUAAAGCACUUUAAGUUGGGAGGAAGGGCAGCAAGCUAAUACCUUGCUGUUUUGACGUUACCGACAGAAUAAGCACC